Long non-coding RNA from Aphis gossypii (cotton aphid), 713 nucleotides. RefSeq lists it as uncharacterized. The record is from RefSeq and is a predicted model, not a curated record. The transcript is spliced from 4 exons. Lineage: Eukaryota; Metazoa; Arthropoda; Insecta; Hemiptera; Aphididae.
GCGGCCUCGGAUAUUAACAAUAGAUACAAAUCACCACGGUUCGCGUUUUGUAUAAAAUAGAUAGGUACCUACACCGAAUACGUGCAUUUUUAUAAUAUAGUGAUACUCUACGAUAUACCAUUGACGGAUAGACGAGAAACGAAAUUGAUAUCCAAGGACGAAGAUCUGACGGACGUAUGUAUUUAUACGAGUUCCUAUGAUGAAUUAUUAUUUAGACUGCAAACUGAACAUGCCGAAGAAUUAUUUUUCAUCGUGACCAUCGUGUGCAAAAACGUUACAGAUAACAAAGAACAGAAAACCGUUUAAAUCAUAGUACUGAAUUUCAACUUACUACCGUUGAAUUGUAAAAAUUAUAAAAAAUGUAAGAACAUUUUUUUUUCGAAAACAAAGUAGAAUGACGAUUGAAAAUAGCGAUAGACAAGGCCAUGAGGAUUGGUAAUAAAGGCAUAACACUUUAUCUUUGACGGAUCGAGUUACUAUCAUGAAGAUUUAAUAUAUUGUCAUAAAAUAAAUAUGUCACGCAUAAGACGAGAGAAAGAGUAAUUUCAUGAUGGAAAUUGUGUAGUUGAGAGUCUGAAAAUACAAAAUAUACAAUACGAAACGUAUUUGACGAAUGUACAACAAACAUAAAAUGGAAUUUGAAAAACAUAGUUAAUUAAAGAAAUAUUAACGAACCUGUAGUAUAAUAAUGGAUGUAAUAAAGCCAGUACUCU